UUUUCCAGCCAUGUCACCCUGCAACUUACAAUUGGCAACCCACUGAAGCUAAGCAGGUGUGAGCCUGGUCAGUACCUGGGUGGCAGACCUCCUGGGAAAAACUAAGGUUGCUGCUGGAA
This 119-nucleotide ribosomal RNA is filed under the name Lepisosteus oculatus (spotted gar). Lineage: Eukaryota; Metazoa; Chordata; Actinopteri; Semionotiformes; Lepisosteidae. The record is from RNAcentral.